RNAcentral lists this ribosomal RNA (484 nucleotides) under uncultured bacterium. RNAcentral describes it as "partial 16S ribosomal RNA". It matches the Rfam family "Bacterial small subunit ribosomal RNA", at positions 28 to 523 of the family's 1533-position model. The record is from RNAcentral.
GACGAACGCUGGCGGCGUGCUUAACACAUGCAAGUCGAACGAUGAAGCCGGAGCUUGCUCUGGUGAAUUAGUGGCGAACGGGUGAGUAACACGUGGGUGAUCUGCCCUGCACUUCGGGAUAAGCCUGGGAAACUGGGUCUAAUACCGGAUAGGACCACUGCCUGCAUGGGUGGUGGUGGAAAGCUUUUGCGGUGUGGGAUGGGCCCGCGGCCUAUCAGCUUGUUGGUGGGGUGAUGGCCUACCAAGGCGACGACGGGUAGCCGGCCUGAGAGGGUGACCGGCCACACUGGGACUGAGAUACGGCCCAGACUCCUACGGGAGGCAGCAGUGGGGAAUAUUGCACAAUGGGCGCAAGCCUGAUGCAGCGACGCCGCGUGAGGGAUGACGGCCUUCGGGUUGUAAACCUCUUUCAGCACAGACGAAGCGCAAGUGACGGUAUGUGCAGAAGAAGGACCGGCCAACUACGUGCCAGCCGCCGCAGUAA